Molecule: ribosomal RNA, 465 nt
Filed under: uncultured bacterium
Lineage: Bacteria
Description: partial 16S ribosomal RNA
Rfam family: Bacterial small subunit ribosomal RNA
Source: RNAcentral
GAUGAACGCUGGCGGCGUGCUUAACACAUGCAAGUCGAACGGAAAGGCUCCUGCUUGCAGGGGUACUCGAGUGGCGAACGGGUGAGUAACACGUGGGUGAUCUGCCCUGCACUUCGGGAUAAGCCUGGGAAACUGGGUCUAAUACCGGAUAGGACGAUGGUUUGGAUGCCAUUGUGGAAAGUUUUUCGGUGUGGGAUGAGCUCGCGGCCUAUCAGCUUGUUGGUGGGGUAAUGGCCUACCAAGGCGUCGACGGGUAGCCGGCCUGAGAGGGUGUACGGCCACAAUGGGACUGCGAUACGGCCCAGACUCCUACGGGAGGCAGCAGUGGGGAAUAUUGCACAAUGGGCGCAAGCCUGAUGCAGCGACGCCGCGUGGGGGAUGACGGCCUUCGGGUUGUAAACUCCUUUCGCUAGGGACGAAGCGCAAGUGACGGUACCUGGAGAAGAAGCACCGGCUAACUACGUG